RNAcentral lists this ribosomal RNA (457 nucleotides) under uncultured bacterium. RNAcentral describes it as "partial 16S ribosomal RNA". It matches the Rfam family "Bacterial small subunit ribosomal RNA", at positions 338 to 795 of the family's 1533-position model. The record is from RNAcentral.
CCUACGGGUGGCAGCAGUGGGGCAUAUUGCACAAUGGGCGCAAGCCUGAUGCAGCGACGCCGCGUGCGGGAUGGAGGCCUUCGGGUUGUAAACCGCUUUAGUUCAAGGGCAAGGCACGGUCUUUGGCCGUGUGGAGUGGAAUGUUCGAAUAAGCAACGGCUGACUACGUGCAAGCAGCCGCGGUAAUACGUAGGGUGGAAGGGUUAUCCGGAUUUAGUGGACGGAAAGGGCUCGGAGGCGGUUCGGAGCGUCCGGGGUGAAAGUCAAUCGCGUAACGGUGGGUCCGCGCCGGGUACUGGCGGGCUUGAGUGCGGUAGGGGAGACUGGAAUUCUCGGUGUAACGGUGGAAUGUGUAGAUAUCGGGAAGAAAACCAAUGGCGAAGGCAGGUCUCUGGGCCGUUACUGACGCUGAGGAGCGAAAGCGUGGGGAGCGAACAGGAUUAGAUACCCUGUAGUC